UAGGGAAUCUUCCACAAUGGACGCAAGUCUGAUGGAGCAACGCCGCGUGAGUGAAGAAGGUUUUCGGACCGUAAAGCUCUGUUGUUGGUGAAGAAGGAUAGAGGUAGUAACUGGCCCUUUAUUUGACGGUAAUCAACCAGAAAGUCACGGCUAACUACGUGCCAGCAGCCGCGGUAAUACGUAGGUGGCAAGCGUUGUCCGGAUUUAUUGGGCGUAAAGCGAGCGCAGGCGGAAGAAUAAGUCUGAUGUGAAAGCCCUCGGCUUAACCGAGGAAUUGCAUCGGAAACUGUUUUCUUGAGUGCAGAAGAGGAGAGUAGAACUCCAUGUGUAGCGGUGGAAUGCGUAGAUAUAUGGAAGAAUACCAGUGGCGAAGGCGGCUCUCUGGUCUGCAACUGACGCUGAGGCUCGAAAGCAUGGGUAGCGAACAGGAUUAGAUACCCUGGUAGUCCAUGCCGUAAACGAUGAGUGCUAAGUGUUGGGAGGCUUCCGCCUCUCAGUGCUGCAGCUAACGCAUUAAGCACUCCGCCUGGGGGAGUACGACCGCAAGGUUGAAAC
RNAcentral lists this ribosomal RNA (555 nucleotides) under uncultured bacterium. RNAcentral describes it as "partial 16S ribosomal RNA". It matches the Rfam family "Bacterial small subunit ribosomal RNA", at positions 355 to 900 of the family's 1533-position model. The record is from RNAcentral.